GAUGAACGCUGGCGGCGUGCCUAAUACAUGCAAGUCGAGCGAACGGACGAGAAGCUUGCUUCUCUGAUGUUAGCGGCGGACGGGUGAGUAACACGUGGAUAACCUACCUAUAAGACUGGGAUAACUUCGGGAAACCGUAGCUAAUACCGGAUAAUUUUUUGAACCGCAUGGUUCAAAAGUGAAAGACGGUCUUGCUGUCACUUAUAGAUGGAUCCGCGCUGCAUUAGCUAGUUGGUAAGGUAACGGCUUACCAAGGCAACGAUGCAUAGCCGACCUGAGAGGGUGAUCGGCCACACUGGAACUGAGACACGGUCCAGACUCCUACGGGAGGCAGCAGUAGGGAAUCUUCCGCAAUGGGCGAAAGCCUGACGGAGCAACGCCGCGUGAGUGAUGAAGGUCUUCGGAUCGUAAAACUCUGUUAUUGGGGAAGAACAUAUGUGUAAGUAACUGUGCACAUCUUGACGGUACCUAAUCAGAAAGCCACGGCUAACUACGUG
RNAcentral lists this ribosomal RNA (497 nucleotides) under uncultured bacterium. RNAcentral describes it as "partial 16S ribosomal RNA". It matches the Rfam family "Bacterial small subunit ribosomal RNA", at positions 28 to 507 of the family's 1533-position model. The record is from RNAcentral.